RNAcentral lists this ribosomal RNA (253 nucleotides) under uncultured bacterium. Its description in RNAcentral is "partial 16S ribosomal RNA". It matches the Rfam family "Bacterial small subunit ribosomal RNA", at positions 524 to 776 of the family's 1533-position model. The record is from RNAcentral.
UACAUGGGGUGCAAACGUUGCUCGGAAUUAUUGGGCGUAAAGCGCACGUAGGCGGUUUGUUAAGUCGGAUGUGAAAUCCCUCGGCUCAACUGAGGAAGUGCAUCCGAAACUGGCAGGCUUGAGUACUAAAGAGGGUCGCGGAAUUCCCGGUGUAGAGGUGAAAUUCGUAGAUAUCGGGAGGAACACCGGUGGCGAAGGCGGUUCUCUGGGCAUUACCUGACGCUGAGGAGCGAAAGUGUGGGGAGCGAACAGG